GAUGAACGCUGGCGGCGUGCCUAAUACAUGCAAGUCGAGCGAACAGAUGAGGAGCUUGCUCCUCUGACGUUAGCGGCGGACGGGUGAGUAACACGUGGAUAACCUACCUAUAAGACUGGGAUAACUUCGGGAAACCGGAGCUAAUACCGUAUAAUAUCUUGAACCGCAUGGUUCAAUAGUGAAAUACGGUUUUGCUGUCACUUAUAGAUGGAUCCGCGCCGCAUUAGCUAGUUGGUAAGGUAACGGCUUACCAAGGCAACGAUGCGUAGCCGACCUGAGAGGGUGAUCGACCACACUGGAACUGAGACACGGUCCAGACUACUACGGGAGGCAGCAGUAGGGAAUCUUCCGCAAUGGGCGAAAGCCUGACGGAGCAACGCCGCGUGAGUGAUGAAGGUCUUCGGAUCGUAAAACUCUGUUAUUAGGGAAGAACAAAUGUGUAAGUAAAUAUGCACGUCUUGACGGUACCGAAUCAGAAAGCCACGGCUAACUACGUG
This 497-nucleotide ribosomal RNA is filed under the name uncultured bacterium. Its description in RNAcentral is "partial 16S ribosomal RNA". It matches the Rfam family "Bacterial small subunit ribosomal RNA", at positions 28 to 507 of the family's 1533-position model. The record is from RNAcentral.